GCGGAGAUGGAGUCACCAAGUUUGGUUCUUCUAAGCUGUUUCCUGAUACAAUGCUACGGUAGGAGAUUUUUCUUUUACUAUUAAUGUUCAAUUUUUUCUAAAUGCGGAUACAAACUUUCCUUGCUAAAUAACAGUAAGUAUCAAUAGUAGUUUUAAAUGGUCAGGUUCAAGAUGUGCUAAAAGUAAAGGGUAGCAGUACAAAUGUAAUCAUGAAUCAAUGAGUCUUUUCUCUUGAAGGGUCUACUCAUUUUCAUUACCUAAAGAAAGGGGAGGAGGUUACACUGUCCUGUGAAACAUGUCAAUGGGAGGCUGAUGUGGAUUCAGACAACAGAGUGGACUGCAGUGUCAUAGACAGUAUUUAUACCAUGAACUCAGACUGCCCUGCUGAAAGACAUGGUCUAUGCCAAGAGAUAAAGAGAAACAAAUCCACCAGUUGUGAAAUCCGUGUAAAGAGGGGAUUCUUUGCCUGUGUCAAUGCUGUAUCUGACUCCUGCUUCAUGCAUCCAUUCAAACCCUCUUCUCAUCAUGUGGAGUCCUUCAUUGUUGCUCAGGCAGAACGACAUUGUGUCUGGACCUGUAAUGGAAAACUCAGUGCUUGUGUCUGGAGGAGAAUCAAUUCAUCUGACGUGCACUUUUAAAAUAAAAGGGUAUUACUCCUAUAAUCCUUUCGUGGUGUACUGGAUCAAGACUGGUGCUCAGAGCAGCACAUGUGUGUAUUCCUUUAGUUACGUUAGUUAUGGGGAUAGUGGGUUUGAUGACCACUGUGCCAUUGACAAAGAUCUUCUGUUAAGGAGAUCACACACAUCAAGACCCUUCCUUGAUGAUAACAACAUCCAUAACCUGAAGAUCAGCAAUGCCACUCAGUCAGACCGUGGACAGUAUCUGUGUGUCUUACAGGUGAACAUAUAUAACCAGCAGUACUGGGCAGUAAUAACCAACACUACAGUCAUUGUGGAUAAUCCUGUGUCUCAAACUGCAAUAACUCAAAGAUUUCAGAACGGGGAGGAAGUGGAUGACGACGACUGUUCCCCUUAUGCGAUGGGCCAGGGAGAGCAGGAACCAACGUACUCACUCAUUCAGCUGACCAAUCAGAAGACUGACCCUGUGUUCAGUGGGGAUGGAGAACUCGCUUCAGACCCAUCAGCAGAUGAGGGCAUCAUGAGGAAGAACUCCAUAUAUGAAACCUCAGGUCCAUAGUCUCAACUGCCUGCCAGUUUCUUGCAGUGUGAGUUCCUGCAUAAAGACCAAGAUUACAUGAUCGGCCUGUUUAUAACCAGGCCUGUAAAUAACCGCAUUAGUCCUGUUUCAGUUAAAAUGAGGAAGGAACUCUCGCUGUCACAACUUCCUGACUGAAACCUAAAAUUUCCCCAGAUUGCUUUGUUUGUGGGCUUAUCCCACAGCUGUCAUUUCAGUUAUAGAAUAGAUAAAUAUGACUAUUGUUGUGAUUUGUUGGAUAGUCAUUUCUAAUGUUGGUACUUUGAGCCAAUAUGCUAGAGGUUGUUCAAAUGUGUUUGCAUGUGUUGUUUGUAAAUAAGCCAAACUGAUAAAUGAACUAAUUAAACUGUAAAUUAAAAAAGUCAGUCUUGAAGGAAAGGGGGCAUUUGUUUUUGUAGUUUCACAGAUACACCCAGUUUACCAGUUAAUAUGGUGAAGCAACUCUCGGUUUCACACAGUAAGCAUUGUGUGUAGUUUUUUUAGCACUCCCAAAAUACUCUGAAAGAGUCAACUUUUCUUUUUAAAGUCACUCAUUCUCUACAUAUUUUUCUGGUCUGUACAAGUUAACUGGUAACCCUCAGUUAGUCUAAAGAGAGCGACCUGUUUAUUACACUGAGGGUCUACAGAACCAAAACGAUCUACUGUCCAUUGCAAAGUAUUGCUUCCAUGUUUUUUACGGCAGUCUACUUUAGGUGACGUUGCUGGGCUCCCCACUAGAUGGAGCUAUUGUGCUAUACAUUUCACCUUAAUGUAGAUAUUAAUAUGACUAUAAGGUAAGCUGUUUCAAAUACAUCGAAAGAUUAGGCUACUUCAAUACACGUCGGCGUAAAAUUAUAUAACUGAAAUGACAUAGCUAAAUAUGCAUGAACAUUUUGUUAUAGGAGCAGUCACAGACCUUAGAAGUGAGGCAGACAUUGUAAUGCUCCAAGAAGCUCACUGAUCUGAAUUGGAUGUCAAAUUUUGGAGAUCACAAUGGGGAAAUACUAUACAUUAUAGUCAUGGAAGUAAUAACUCAGCAGGGGUUGCUAUACUUUUACACAAAUUCAAAGGUGAAGUGUUAGAAACAGUGAAAUCCUCUGAAGGAAGAUGGGUGAUGAUUGUCAUAAAGCAAGACAAUGGCAUUUUUAUUGUAUGUAAUGUUUAUGGAUAUAAUUCACAUUUGUCCAACAAAACUUUAUUUGUCCAGAUAUCGAAUAAUGCCAAAUUACUUCUUGACAAAUAUAGUGACUCUUAUGUUAUCUUUGAGGUGACUUUAACGGAUGUGUCGAUUCUAGUGUUGAUAGAUUCCCCCCCAGAUUGAGUAAGGUCUGUGUUCUGUCCUUGUUCGGUUUCCCCAGAUUGAGUAAGGUCUGUGUUCUGUCCUUGUUCGGUUUCUGAGUUUGUCUCCCUUGUGUUGUCACAUGUUUGUUCCCUUGUCUAGUCCUUGUGCUUUCUUGAUCCCGCCAGGGGGGUAUUCGUCGUAGCUCGCUAAGCAGUUUAGCGAGCUAAUUUUCAGGCUAAGAUAAAAAACGCCCCUCUUUUUGGUUUGUGGAAGCAACUUUUGAUAAAUCACCAUAGUUACAUAUCGAUUAGCACUAACCUGCUCCAGGGCAGGCUAACUUAAGUGUAGCUGGAUAAGCUUGCCACACCCCCAGAAAAAGGAGGGAUCCCAUUGACCAAGGACUGAUAUUAGAUAGUUAAUAAGAUUAGCGGAGGGAGAGAGUUCUUUGCAAUCGCCAAGAUCAAUUAUUCUUGUAUGAGCGCUACCGAUUCAGCCGACAAGGAAUCAUUAAUUUACAAGACCUUCUCGAGUGAUUUAUUGCAAACACCACAGUCGAACAUUGACUGUCUUGCGCUUUUUUGCGAGUGAUACAUUUUUGUAGUGUCGGUGAUGCGAAGAACAACAGUUAUUCAUACACACAUAUCACCCUAUAAACAUCCCAACACACCUUGCUCUCACAGCGGUGGUGGUGUUGAAUUUGGCCAUGAUUAUGGUCUUGUAUUCAUCAUAAGCGUUCAUGUUCAUCUCCUACUCGCCAGCGGAGAAAAAAUAGCCCUUUUCUUUGAGUUUAGAACCAUUAUACCGUUAGAAAAUCAUGGUUUUGGUGAUCGACCUUUCCUGCCUUUUGAAGUAGGACGUGCACGCGCAAAUGCCAUGAUAACUUUAGCCUGGUUGAAAUUAACCACAUGAUUUGGAUGCGGAUCAGCCGUUAACGAACCGAUAUUUGCUGUUCUCAAUCAGCUCGCUAAUCUUAACGGGCUAAAAGGCUAAUUGAUUAACUUAGCUUCAACC
Long non-coding RNA from Clupea harengus (Atlantic herring), 3487 nucleotides. Lineage: Eukaryota; Metazoa; Chordata; Actinopteri; Clupeiformes; Clupeidae. The record is from Ensembl.